GACGAACGCUGGCGGCGCGCCUAACACAUGCAAGUCGAACGAGCGAGAGAGAGCUUGCUUUCUCGAGCGAGUGGCGAACGGGUGAGUAACGCGUGAGGAACCUGCCUCAAAGAGGGGGACAACAGUUGGAAACGACUGCUAAUACCGCAUAAGCCCACGGGUCGGCAUCGACCAGAGGGAAAAGGAGCAAUCCGCUUUGAGAUGGCCUCGCGUCCGAUUAGCUAGUUGGUGAGGUAACGGCCCACCAAGGCGACGAUCGGUAGCCGGACUGAGAGGUUGAACGGCCACAUUGGGACUGAGACACGGCCCAGACUCCUACGGGAGGCAGCAGUGGGGAAUAUUGCACAAUGGGGGAAACCCUGAUGCAGCGACGCCGCGUGGAGGAAGAAGGUCUUCGGAUUGUAAACUCCUGUUGUUGAGGAAGAUAAUGACGGUACUCAACAAGGAAGUGACGG
RNAcentral lists this ribosomal RNA (455 nucleotides) under uncultured bacterium. Its description in RNAcentral is "bacterial SSU rRNA". It matches the Rfam family "Bacterial small subunit ribosomal RNA", at positions 28 to 496 of the family's 1533-position model. The record is from RNAcentral.